GAAAUUGGUCCUCAUUCGAAAAAGAGUCCACAAAGCAUUGAGCCAGAUUAGGUGAAGGGGCAUUGAUUAGGAGGUGAGAUCGAGGAGGUGAGUUUGGGCUGUAUCUGAAAAGGGGUUAGAUUUUCUCCUGUUGCUGGUGAGGUACCUAAAGAAUUGGAGGGGUUAGUCUGCUUCAGGUAGAUCACUCUGCACCCCUAAGGACAGGUGUCAAGUGACGGGGCCAGGGGAAUAAUUGAGCCACCGACUGAGUGAGGUGAAACAUCUGAACUCCUGUCUGGCCAGAACUGUCAGUUGCCUUGCUCUCUGCCACAUCUCUCCCGACAGACCAGGACAGGGUGGAUGCCUCGACCUGACUCUCUAUUUACGUGGCUGGGUGAUUGGGCGCUUGUGAAGAAAACACCGGCAUAUGUUGGUGACACAGUAAAUCCACAUCUACCUGCUAGUGUAAGAGUCUCAGCAUCACACAGCAAUCAUUUUGGGUUUUCUUCCAAGUCUUUUCAUCUUAUAGGUAUGUUCUGCAGACCUCAGCACAGCUCACUUCUACAGCCAAGGUUUUGCAGAACAAUAUGAUCAUCUUUAACUUUGAGAAAGCUGCUCUCUAAGAUCGUCUGGAU
RNAcentral lists this long non-coding RNA (614 nucleotides) under Equus caballus (horse). RNAcentral describes it as "lncRNA (ENSECAG00000052077.1)". Lineage: Eukaryota; Metazoa; Chordata; Mammalia; Perissodactyla; Equidae. The record is from RNAcentral.